AACGUGAGCAACCUGCCUAGGUGUGGGGGAGUAGCCGGCCCAACGGCCGGGUAAUACCGCAUACGCUCAACACGAGGCAUUUCGAGUUGAGGAAACCUUCGGGGCACUAUGAGGGGCUCGCGGCCUAUCAGCUAGUUGGCGAGGUAAUGGCUCACCAAGGCUACGACGGGUAGCUGGUCUGAGAGGAUGGCCAGCCACAUUGGGACUGAGAAACGGCCCAG
Molecule: ribosomal RNA, 221 nt
Filed under: uncultured bacterium
Lineage: Bacteria
Description: partial 16S ribosomal RNA
Rfam family: Bacterial small subunit ribosomal RNA
Source: RNAcentral